GACGAACGCUGGCGGCGUGCCUAAUACAUGCAAGUAGAACGCACAGUUUAUACCGUAGCUUGCUACACCAUAGACUGUGAGUUGCGAACGGGUGAGUAACGCGUAGGUAACCUGCCUGGUAGCGGGGGAUAACUAUUGGAAACGAUAGCUAAUACUGCAUAAUAUUAAUUAUUGCAUGAUAAUUAAUUGAAAGGUGCAAUUGCACCACUACCAGAUGGACCUGCGUUGUAUUAGCUAGUAGGUGAGGUAACGGCUCACCUAGGCGACGAUACAUAGCCGACCUGAGAGGGUGAUCCGCCACACUGGGACUGAGACACGGCCCAGACUCCUACGGGAGGCAGCAGUAGGGAAUCUUCGGCAAUGGACGAAAGUCUGACCGAGCAACGCCGCGUGAGUGAAGAAGGGUUUCGGAUCGUAAAGCUCUGUUGUAAGAGAAGAACGGGUGUGAGAGUGGAAAGUUCACACUGUGACGGUAUCUUACCAGAAAGGGACGGCUAACUACGUG
RNAcentral lists this ribosomal RNA (505 nucleotides) under uncultured bacterium. RNAcentral describes it as "partial 16S ribosomal RNA". It matches the Rfam family "Bacterial small subunit ribosomal RNA", at positions 28 to 507 of the family's 1533-position model. The record is from RNAcentral.